This 598-nucleotide ribosomal RNA is filed under the name Dujonia railenensis. Its description in RNAcentral is "eukaryotic LSU rRNA". The stretch from base 194 to 347 matches the Rfam family "5.8S ribosomal RNA". Lineage: Eukaryota; Fungi; Ascomycota; Pichiomycetes; Serinales; Debaryomycetaceae. The record is from RNAcentral.
UACGCAGUUCGUUUUGCAGCGCUUAUUGCGCGGCGAAAACCUUACACACUAUGUUUUUUUAAUUUGAAACUAUUGCUUUGGUCUGGCUUAGAAAUAGGUUGGGCCAAAGGUUUUAUCAAAACUUCAAUAUUUAUUAUUGAAUUGUUAUUUUUAAUUUUAUGUCAAUUUGUUGAUUAAUAUCAAAAAUCUUCAAAACUUUCAACAACGGAUCUCUUGGUUCUCGCAUCGAUGAAGAACGCAGCGAAAUGCGAUAAGUAAUAUGAAUUGCAGAUUUUCGUGAAUCAUCGAAUCUUUGAACGCACAUUGCGCCCUUUGGUAUUCCAAAGGGCAUGCCUGUUUGAGCGUCAUUUCUCUCUCAAAUCUUCGGAUUUGGUUUUGAGUGAUACUCUUAGUCAGACUAAGCGUUUGCUUGAAAUGUAUUGGCAUGAGUGGUACUAGAUAGUGCUGAACUGUUUUCAAUGUAUUAGGUUUAUCCAACUCAUUGACCAGUAAAGUAUUUGUUUAUUACACAGGCUCGGCCUUACAACAACAAACAAAGUUUGACCUCAAAUCAGGUAGGACUACCCGCUGAACUUAAGCAUAUCAAGCCGGGAGGGAG